Molecule: ribosomal RNA, 269 nt
Filed under: uncultured bacterium
Lineage: Bacteria
Description: partial 16S ribosomal RNA
Rfam family: Bacterial small subunit ribosomal RNA
Source: RNAcentral
UACAGAGGUGGCAAGCGUUGUUCGGAAUUACUGGGCGUAAAGCGCACGUAGGCGGACCAGCAAGUUGGGGGUGAAAUCCCGGGGCUCAACCCCGGAACUGCCUUCAAAACUGCGGGUCUGGAGGUCGAGAGAGGUGAGUGGAAUUCCGGGUGUAGCGGUGGAAUGCGUAGAGAUCCGGAAGAACACCGGUGGCGAAGGCGGCCCGCUGGGCAGGAAGGCUCGCAAGAGCCGGCUGACGCUGAGGCGCGACAGCGUGGGGAGCAAACAGG